This is an RNA transcript of Gallus gallus (chicken), 497 nucleotides long. RefSeq lists it as uncharacterized. Lineage: Eukaryota; Metazoa; Chordata; Aves; Galliformes; Phasianidae. The transcript is spliced from 3 exons. The record is from RefSeq and is a predicted model, not a curated record.
GGAAGUCCUUCUGGAGAGAGCUCAUCUCCAGGCUGGAGGGCUUCCUACAACAGCAGGUCCCAGCACAGGGGGAAGACCUUCCCCUGCCGUGUGCCCCCGCUCUGUCUCCAAGUCCUUGGCUGGAUGUAAACGCAAGGGCUUGGAAGAAGCGAAGCCAACAGCAGUGCAGCUGCCUGCUAACAAAAGAGUGAGGGGGCCGAGCGGAGACAGCGUGCCAGCUCCAGCAGCACACCCUGGGCCUGCUGCAGCGCGGAGCUCCAAGCUAAGAGCGAGAAGACGCCAAGAGAAAGAGAGGAGAGGGGAAUCGAUGAAGGCUGCCCUCAGAGCUGCCGCUGCACGUGCAGAGGCCUCCGCAGUGAACAGCCUUGUGGAGAUGAUGCAGAAGCUGCAGCUGAAGGACUGAGAGGAGGAGCGUCAGCAGGCAGCGGCUGCAGUGCGCGGCGUUACAGGGCAGCGCUGCGAGUGCCGCCCAACUCGGCACUCCAACUUCAGAUGGA